This is a non-coding RNA of Pelobates cultripes (western spadefoot toad), 168 nucleotides long. NCBI's taxonomy places the organism in Eukaryota, Metazoa, Chordata, Amphibia, Anura, Pelobatidae. The record is from the annotation of a GenBank genome assembly.
GCAGACACACUCCAGCCAAUCAGCAGCAGACCCUCCCUCCCAGAUCCUCCCACCUCCUGGACAGCUCACUAAGAAUGCAGCUUCACAAUGAAUGUAAAAUGGAUGCUGUCCAGGAGGUGGGAGGGUCUGGGAGGGAGGGUCUGCUGCUGAUUGGCUGGAAUGUGUCUG